This 1460-nucleotide ribosomal RNA is filed under the name uncultured Pseudomonas sp. Its description in RNAcentral is "bacterial SSU rRNA". It matches the Rfam family "Bacterial small subunit ribosomal RNA". The record is from RNAcentral. Lineage: Bacteria; Pseudomonadati; Pseudomonadota; Gammaproteobacteria; Pseudomonadales; Pseudomonadaceae.
AUUGAACGCUGGCGGCAGGCCUAACACAUGCAAGUCGAGCGGUAGAGAGAAGCUUGCUUCUCUUGAGAGCGGCGGACGGGUGAGUAAUGCCUAGGAAUCUGCCUGGUAGUGGGGGAUAACGUUCGGAAACGGACGCUAAUACCGCAUACGUCCUACGGGAGAAAGCAGGGGACCUUCGGGCCUUGCGCUAUCAGAUGAGCCUAGGUCGGAUUAGCUAGUUGGUGGGGUAAUGGCUCACCAAGGCGACGAUCCGUAACUGGUCUGAGAGGAUGAUCAGUCACACUGGAACUGAGACACGGUCCAGACUCCUACGGGAGGCAGCAGUGGGGAAUAUUGGACAAUGGGCGAAAGCCUGAUCCAGCCAUGCCGCGUGUGUGAAGAAGGUCUUCGGAUUGUAAAGCACUUUAAGUUGGGAGGAAGGGUUGUAGAUUAAUACUCUGCAAUUUUGACGUUACCGACAGAAUAAGCACCGGCUAACUCUGUGCCAGCAGCCGCGGUAAUACAGAGGGUGCAAGCGUUAAUCGGAAUUACUGGGCGUAAAGCGCGCGUAGGUGGUUUGUUAAGUUGGAUGUGAAAUCCCCGGGCUCAACCUGGGAACUGCAUUCAAAACUGACUGACUAGAGUAUGGUAGAGGGUGGUGGAAUUUCCUGUGUAGCGGUGAAAUGCGUAGAUAUAGGAAGGAACACCAGUGGCGAAGGCGACCACCUGGACUAAUACUGACACUGAGGUGCGAAAGCGUGGGGAGCAAACAGGACUAGAUACCCUGGUAGUCCACGCCGUAAACGGUGUCAACUAGCCGUUGGAAGCCUUGAGCUUUUAGUGGCGCAGCUAACGCAUUAAGUUGACCGCCUGGGGAGUACGGCCGCAAGGUUAAAACUCAAAUGAAUUGACGGGGGCCCGCACAAGCGGUGGAGCAUGUGGUUUAAUUCGAAGCAACGCGAAGAACCUUACCAGGCCUUGACAUCCAAUGAACUUUCCAGAGAUGGAUUGGUGCCUUCGGGAACAUUGAGACAGGUGCUGCAUGGCUGUCGUCAGCUCGUGUCGUGAGAUGUUGGGUUAAGUCCCGUAACGAGCGCAACCCUUGUCCUUAGUUACCAGCACGUAAUGGUGGGCACUCUAAGGAGACUGCCGGUGACAAGCCGGAGGAAGGUGGGGAUGACGUCAAGUCAUCAUGGCCCUUACGGCCUGGGCUACACACGUGCUACAAUGGUCGGUACAGAGGGUUGCCAAGCCGCGAGGUGGAGCUAAUCCCAUAAAACCGAUCGUAGUCCGGAUCGCAGUCUGCAACUCGACUGCGUGAAGUCGGAAUCGCUAGUAAUCGCGAAUCAGAAUGUCGCGGUGAAUACGUUCCCGGGCCUUGUACACACCGCCCGUCACACCAUGGGAGUGGGUUGCACCAGAAGUAGCUAGUCUAACCUUCGGGAGGACGGUUACCACGGUGUGAUUCAUGACUGGGGUGA